UAUUCCCCCUAACUUAGUUGUUAAAUGGCCUAUAAUUAGCUUAGCUAUCUCCAAAAUGGCUUAAUAAGCGUAGUUAGCGCUAAAUGACAUAUUUAACCCGAGUUAGCUCUAGAAUGAUCUAUAAUUAGCUUGGCUUCCACCUAAAUGACAUAAUUAGCUUGGUUAGCUCCAAAAUGGUGUAUUUAAUAAUAAAUGACCUAUACUUAGCUAAGUUAUCUCCGAAAUGACAUAAUAUGCUUAUGUAGCUCCAAGAUGACCUAUUCCCCCUAACAUAGCUAUUAAAUGGCCUAUAAUUAGCUUAGUUAGCUACAAAAUGGCUUAAUAAGCAUAUUGAGCUCAAAAAUGACAUAUUUUUUCCUAACUAGCUCCAAAAUGACAUAUACUUGGCUUCAUUUCAUCCUAAAUGAUGUAGUAAGCUAAAUUAGCUCCAAAAUGACCUAUACUUCUCUUCUUCAUCUAGUCUUCUUCUUCAAACUUACUUAUUUCCCAUUUUGCAGAUUACAUUCACUUCACAGAACCUUGGAUUAUAUUGAUGGAGUGCUUCAAUAUGGUUUCUUCAAAAUGGCUUCACAGAAGCUUGGACUGAAACUAUUAUAGUAAAUGGAUAUGAAACUUUGUAUGUAUGGCUGAAACUAGUGUAAUAUAUGGUUUGGUACGGAUGAAACUUGCAUAAUAUGUAUGUAUUAUGGAUGAAAUUUAUUUUAAUAUGGUUAUGAAUAUGGGGCAGUUUGUGUGAAAUACAUUAUGUGUUAUGGAUUAUGGAUGAAAUUGUCAAAUAUAUAUUAUGUAUUAUGGAUGAAACUGUCAAAUAUAUAUAUAUAUUCCUUAUUUCUUUGAAAAUUGCUGGAUAUUCUAAAAAAUAAAAUAAACAGGGGAAGUUUGGACCUUUUCCCGUCUGCCCAUCGAUGGUAAAGGAGUUACAGCAGACGAGAAGGGCCCAAACUGGCAUGUUGAAGCAAACUGGGUCCCCCCUUUGCCGUGUGCCAUGCUUGUGGGCAGACGACAAAGGGGCAAAGGGCAGAAGGCAAAUCCUCCAACGAAAGGGGCUUGGUGUCACCUUUGCCGACUACCCACCAGCAUGGCAGACGGUAAAGUCUCUGUGGGCCGAACAGGCUGUCGUUAACACUUGACGGAGGUGCCUGCGGAUCUGUCAUCCCAUAUUCUUUGCCUCCUGCCCCGCAUGGAAAAGAUCCUUUGCCGUCAGCAAGCCCAAUGCAGACGACAAAGAGGCCCUUCACUGGUUUUUUGUUUGAUGUCCAGUUUGCCGUCUGGAGAUGGACGGAAAAGGCCUUUGCCGUCCGGGGUGUCCCCCUUUGUCGUUUUCCAUGGCAGAUGGCAAAGUACCUGAUCCCUGUAGUGGCACUUACUGGAGGGCUUGUGAAUGAAAACCUUGUCUAGCAGCCUUAUUCAUGGAAGGACUAUAAGACUGCCAACUUUCAACUCAGGCGGAUGAGUUUAGCUAGUAGUUGUAUGUAAUGCCCCAAGAGUGUAUCUUUACCUUUUUGGUACCUUCUCUAUGUGGGUCCAACUUGUCAUUGACAUGAGGUUAUGCAAUUUGAUAUUUCAUGUGAAGCUCCCCUUGUUUAUUUCUUCCAUUGCAUGCAUGCAUUCCAUAUCAUUCCAUGUGUUAUGUGUGAUGCCUUGUGAUCUUAUGUGUUUGUGUGAUCCAUGGUGGUGUGGUGAUGUGAUGGGUUAGCUUGUGUGGAGUAUGCAUGUGUUAGUAGGAAUCACCUUGUGAUUUGAAUAGGUUUCAAAACCAUCGUCCCCCCUCUCUAUUUCAUCUCAAGGUCAAGUUUCACUUGAUCCUUUUCUGUUUUAAAAAUGUCCCUGAUUUAGCUUAUGUUUGUGGUGAAUUUGUAGUUGUGUAUUGCUGUUUUGGAUAGGUGUGCAAAUGGUGCAAAUAGAUAUAAAACAGACUCCAAUAAAUCUGUUUUGUAAAUAUUUAGUUGCACCAGAUAUUCAUUUUAUAAUUUAUUCAAAUAGGUCAUAUUUUUCCAUGACCAGGGGUAUUUUUGUUUUGUUUUUAUUCCCAAUAGUUUAGUCUGUGCUUUCUUUUCUUUCUCUGUCUAUUUCUGUAAAUGGAAAACCCCCAAGGGUUUUAUUUCUGUCUAUGUUGUGCCACAAGUGGGCUCCCUCCCUCGUGUGCGUCCCAAUUCCUCUCACCCCGCGCGACAGCCCGGGCGUAUGACCGCCUUCCUCCUCCUGAUGUCGUCUUCUUCCCCGCAUCCUUUCCGUCAGACUAGCCGAGAGAGAGAGCGAGCCGCCGUGAGGGCUCAAACGUCGAGGCCCCCCAUAAAUGUGUUGGCGUCCGUGCCCCCUCUUCCUAGGGUUCCUCCUCUCCCAUCCGCCGCCGCCACUCCUUCCUCCAUCCCCAUCUAUAUCUCUUUUCCCCCUCAGGUGAGUCUGUGUAGUGUCUAGCAGAGAGAGAGAAGGUCGCCGGCGUCGUCUACCCCGCUCCCGUCGUCGUCCGGCGCCGCCACCAUGUCAGGGGCUCGGGGAUGCUCCCCGCGCUCCAUUCCCGCUGUCGGUGAGGUCGAGGAGCGACCUCACCGACGGGAAGGAGCUCGCCAUCGGCUCGGGCCCGGUGGUCUCCGUCCUUCUUCUUCGGUUCGGCACAGCGACAUCUUCUUCCUCUCAGAUCGGCUACUUCCCCUCCAGCCUGCCUCCUCAUCCGAUCGGCGCCCCUUCUUCCUUCCCUAGAUGAGGAUCCUCUCCUCCCUCCUUCCCCCUCGAGUAGAUCGGGCGGUGAUCGUCGGCGCACCUCUGUUCUGAGAGGAGAUCUUGUGAGCAUGUGUGUGUUCCAUGUUGUGUGGGCUCGGUAGACGUGAGUGCAGAGCAGGGUCUUUCUCCCCCUCGUAGUAGUAGCGUCGAAGCGUAGUGGUUCUUCCCGAGGCGCAGCAGCAGUUGCAGAGCAGCCAUGGCGGCCUCCCUGUUGUCCCCGGCGUCUCUGCGUGCAGCAAACAGAGCAUCUGCUUGCCUCGCAGUAUACCUUGGUUUAGUCCCUUCCUCUGUCGAGAUCCCGUGCAUAGCCUAGUGGUAGAGCAGUGCUUGCGUUGCUGUGGUGCAGGUCGUGGGUUCGAUUCCCCCUUGACCCCCUUUUUGCUUAUUUCAGCACAAUGUAGUUUCAGUAGUAGCAGAGCAGGUUAACUUUCUUAGCCCCCCAUCUCUGUUGAGCAAUAGACAGUAGCCCAGUGGUAUGCUGCAUAGUUGUGAUCCAGGAGGUGGAGGGUUCGAUUCCUGCCCCCUCCUUUCAUUUUUCUCUUUUGCAUUUUUGAGCUAUAGGCCUUUGACUUGUGUAGAUAGUGCUGUGGUGUGCUUUACAUACAUGAGGGUAUUAUUUUUAUUUCCCUCCUCUCAAAAUCAGCAUGUGGUGCAUAGAGAAUUUGCUAGUUUGUGAUUAUAUAAUAUGUGGGUGUGUAGGUUUACUUGGUAAUAGAUCAUGUGUGGGUUGUUUUGCAUACAUGCAAGCAUAGUGUUGUGUGUGUGUGAUGGCACUAGGAGUGCAUGUGUGGUUUAUCAUGUGUAGGAGUGCAUGUGUAGGUAUGGGUGCAUGAAGAUAUAUGUUGCUAGUUCAUGUGUGUAGAUGGGGUAUCCAUGUGGUGCAAGUGAGAAGCAUAUGUGGGUGUAUUUCCCAUGAGCAUGUUGGAUGUGAUGUAUGUGUGUGUUUGUGUGCUAUGUGUGUGUGUCUCACACAUGCCAUGGCCUGAAGUGCCAUGAUAAGCACAUGAGUUGGAUGGUGUAGGUGCUCUUAAGCUUAUGCUUGUUGUAGGUGUGUGGGUAUGGUGAUGUGCUAGGGCACACAUACAUGAGGUCAAAACCCUCAUGUUACCAUUGGCCUUGUGAGAGUGUGCAAUAGCUUGUGUAGGUGUAGCUCUAGUGAAUAGUACAUGUGAUGAUGCACUAUUCACUACAUGUGAUCCUAUGCAAGAUUUCUUUUCUAGUUUGUGCUCAUUUGUUACAUGCAAGUGCAUAGGUUUUAUAUAUGUUUUUGGGGUAGAAUCAUCCCAGGAAUCCAUUGGUGAAGUCAGUUUUUCCAUUGGAACACUUUCUGGAGAUGACUUAUUUCAGUUUUGUUCUAUGUUUGGAGCUUGGUUCCAUGAGAUGUGGUGAGCCCAAUAGUUUGAUUCUUGGUUGUGGCAGUAGAGGGUGACCCCCUCUACCACAUGUUGAUUUUGUUUCAUGCUUAGGAACCCAUAUGUGCAAGUUUGCCCAAUCAAAGUAGGCAUGUGGCUGAAAUUCCAGAUUAGUGAAAAUCUGUGAUUUUCACUAAGUCUGAGAAACUGCUUAUAUUUUCUUCUCCUGUUGAUGAGCUUGUGCGGUUCAAUGUGUUGUGAUUCAGCCUUAGCUUUCAACUGGGAAGUUGUAGCUUAUGUGUUUUUCUAGCUCCUUGUAAAUUUUCAUUUCAUUUGGAGUCCUCUAGAUAUUUUUUUGGGUGCUGUCAAAAUGCUUCAGAGCAUAAACAGCCAGUGAGAAUCUGGAAUUUUCACUAAGUCCGUGAAAACUGCUGUUUUUGUCCAAGUUAGCAGCUGUGUAACUUUCUGUGUGAAACUCCUUUGCAUUAUCUUUUUGCUUGUGCUUGUAGUACUCUUGGAUAGCUACUGUCACAUAUCUUAUUUGGCAUGUUUGGGUGGCUGUAGGUGCUUGGCAUGUGGCUCUCAAAGUGCUAUGAUGCUGUUUAGAGCAGAUUGUGAGCUACAGGGACUCAGCAAUCUCAUUUCCAAACGUAUCAAGACUAGGAAAGCUUAAUGGGUGAGGUAAGGUUAAGUGGUGAGGCUGCUGUAGCGACUAAGCAUUUAUUUGAGGUGUCUAACUUACGAGUACAAGAAUAAAAGAGGGGGAUGAUCUACGCAUAGAGGACGUGAAGUACUCAUGAUCAAAUGAAUGAUCCUGAACACCUACUUACGUCAGACAUGACCCCACCGUGUCCUCUUCCGGAUACAUAACUCGUGAGAAGAGACAGUCAAGGUUACGCACACAGUUGACAUAUAUUAAUGAAGUAGCCGAAACUAAGGUGACAAAGGUGGAACAAAACAUAAGGCUAGAAAGCUGAGCCUUCCACCUUUUACCAAGUAUAUAGGUCCAUUAAAUUAAUUAGCAAUUAUAUGGUGAUAUAACAAGAAAGCCAUGUUAUCACAUGGAAGCAACGACACAUGCAACUAGCAACGCUAGCGCAUGGUUAAGCAAGCGGUAACAUAGCCAAUGAGUGGUUUGCUAGGUUGUAGAAAGGUUGAAGGUUUCAUGGCAGUGUUGAGAGGCUGACAUUUAACAUGUGGCAGGCAACGAGACAUAAAGAAAGAAAUGAGACAACUAGCAUGGCAUUGAUAGUAAUGGUAUCUAGGGAAAUAGUCAUCUUACCUAAGAUCCUGCUCGGAAGAAGAACGAAUCCAUGAAGCAGACAAACCAACGUAGUCAAACGGAUCCUCACAUUCCAACACGCUUGCGGAACUCUAUCGAGAAGAAGCAAACCGGAAACAAGAAUCAACAGACAAUAUUCACCAUGGCACAUACACGAUAUGAUGCACAACCUAAUAUGAUGCAUGUCCAUUUCAAUUAUGCAAGGCAAGGCAUGGCAAUUCACAACAAUCAAACACUACACAUUAAGCGAAGCUCAAUAUGCAACGAGUUGCAUAUUGACGAAACUCCACAUACGAAUUAUUUAGUUCACUCCCUUUAGGUGCACGACAAUAUUAAAUGUUAUCUAAACAUGGAAAGAGGAGAAGUAUGUGAUUCUACAUGAUAUUCUACUCGGUUAACACCUAAGAACAUUGAACGGAGCUACAGUUAAAAGAUACGUACAACACAGGAUAUUAUGCCAUGAAUGCAACAUGCAUGCAAUUUUAUGAAAACACUGGCAAGAAGGAUAUGAAGCAUGUGUCGUCAUGGCAAACGAAAGGGAACCAUGGCAUCAAAAUGGAAACGAUGCCACAACAACGUUUCAGGCCCAAUAACUUGAUGAGAUACCGGUGCCAACGAAUUGGGAGCAUGUGCGUGUCAUCCUAGAGAAUGAUGGGGUGAUCCCGGUUACCGGGUUCCCAUGUGCCGGAGGCAUGAAUAUGGGGUACCUACAACUAACAUGGCAUCUACGAAUGACAAAACAAAGUCCUUGGUGGGUUGAUCAAAAUAAAACAAAACAAAUUAGGGGUGGCCUGGGAUUUGACCACCAAACACCUCGGGUGAGUGCUCGCAUUUGCAACCAGUUGGGGGUAGUUACUAGUUCUGAUUAAAAGGGAGCAUGGGCACAAUUUGAGCAACCUACAAAAGGUCGAUCUUAAAUCAUGGCAUGACGGAGGCUCUGCUGCUGAGAGGAGCACAUAGCGGCUGCUACAGCUCCAGUACGCCGGUGAGCGUGCGGAAGGAGGUUUGUCGUUGGCUGGGAGGCCUAGCUGAUGCUCGCGGUUGAUGCAGGCGAGUCAAUGCGCUGAGCCCGCUACAUCUGGAUCCAAGAAGGGGCGAGGUAGGAGACAGCAACACGGGACUUGGCACGGCGAUUCAGACAACAGGAAUGAUGCAGAUGCCGCUUAGACAAUGUCAGGGACGGAACGGAGGCGAGAUCCGACAGGUUAACGACGACGGCGUCGCUCCAUGGCAUCCUCGCGUUAUGCAUACACGAGAUAGAGAGAGAGUCGCGUCAGAAAAAGCCAGGGAGGAAGAUUAGAAAGAGAAGGGAGAGCUGGGGCACACGGUGACGUGCGGGGCUUCAGGCAGCGGAGACCUGUUGGCACGGCGGCCGACGGGGUCCAGUAAGGCGGGCCGACGUAGCUCAAGUGGUUGGCGCAUGGCUGCCAGGUCGAGCGCGAGGGAGAGGCAUGGCGCUGCGGCUUGGGUUGACAGCGGCUACACGGGCGCGAGCGCAGCUCCUGGGGGUCUGGCUGGUCACCGCGAAUGGCUGCGGCCUUCGGCGACGAGGGACCUCGGGCCCCGCGGAAACACAAGCGAAAGGCAGCCGCCUCGAUCCGAUCCGAAGCGAGCACUGCGGGAGGUGGAGGCAUGGGAAACUGGAGAGAGCCUGGUCUUUGGAUAACAGAUCUGACGGUCUAGAGGGGGAAUUGGAGGUGGUUGUGGAUUGGGUCGGGUGAUUUGGUAGGUGGAGGUUGCAGCUCGCGAUCCGAGGAGGGCCACGACAGGUUUGGUGGCUGUGUUGUUCCGGAAUGGGGCUGGGGCUAGGGCUAGGGUCUCAUCUGAAAUUCAUAUAUGGUGGCCUAUAUAUAGGGAAAAGAAACUACCUCAGGACCCUUCGAUCGUAAUUGAAUGGUCGCAGUUAAAUAGGUUAGGGGUCCAAUGGACAAAUCGAAGAUGGUUUGCGGUACUAUGGGGUUGAUCCGGACCUAACGGUUACAACCGCCGUGUUCGGGUCCGGGAGGAGUUUCCGGACUAGGUUGCAGGCAGAGUCGAUGCAUUGUCCACAGGGGCUAGGCGGGGAUGAGAGGGAAAACAGGCAACCCAGCGACAUAUUUAUCCUGUAGGAAUAAUCUAAAAACCAAUUUUAAAAUAAAAGAAAAAGGGGUUCAGCCCCUGGCCUAGCUCGGCCAGGAGCUCGGCUAGUCCAGCUGGCCAAUCAGCCAACCAACCAACCAGCCAGCACAGGCGUGACACGCGGGCCCCUGUGGUCAGCGAUAGAGAGGGGGAGAGGGGGAGAGACUGGCCACCGACAGGUGGGACCCCCCUGUCGAGGUCGUCUUCCAUCUCCAGACAGAGAAGAGGGAAGGCACGCCGGCGGCGACUCCGACAUCCUCGUUGCCAACUAAGCACAAAAACAAGCUCGUGGCAUCUCCGCCUACCUGGUGGGGUUCGAGAGAACGACGGGGAGGGCCUGCGUCACCGGCGACGACGAGACCAUGGUGGAGGAGCUUAGGGUUGUGGUGGAGGAGGGUGUUCCGAGCGGAGAGAAGUUCGAGGGAGUGGUGGAGAAGAUCUCUGAGCUCACUACGAUCACUAGGAAGGCGAGAGCAGCUCGAGAGCGGACAUGUAGCCCGAGAUCGAUGGAGCUCCGACGGGGCGGCGCCUCGGUUGAUCUCAUGCACCGGGGCUCUCCUUUCUCAAAUGGUAUUCUAGGGGAUCGACUUGAGGAGGGGAGGAAAGGUGUGAGGUGCAAGAAUGAGGGGGUAGGCCUAUUUAUUGGCUGGCGAUGGGGCACCGAGUGGGGGAGCACCGGUGGUUUUAGCCACGGCUGGAGGAGAGGGAGAGAGGACUCGUGGCCGAAAACACGGUUUACGACCGUGGUUUAGGACUUUCGCAGACGCAACGGCAGGAGCGGGGGAGGCUGUGUAGGCGUGCUACGGGGCUGCGUCCUCCUGACCGAAUCGGGCUCGCGUGGGCACACGUUGCCUGCGUCAAUGGAAAGUGGGGAGAAGGGGCCCUGAGGCUGCCCUGAGUCGGGUCUUUGUUGGGGGUGAGGAGAGGCAUCGUGGGGAGGUGAGAACCGGCCCGGGCUGGCCUCCCUAGCCUCGGGUGCGCUCUGUAGCGUGUCAAGAGCGCAGCUUUGGCAUGCCACAACAUGCUGGUGCGGUCUGGCCUGCUUUGGCUUUGUCUGGGGUGUCUGUGGGGUGGUUUAUAUGCCCUCCAGUUGCUAGGAAACGAAAGAAGCAGUGCUGGUCAAAGGGGGGGGGGGUUCUUAAAGAGGUUCUGCCAGCAUUGUACGAGGAGCUAAAUUGGGGUUUUUGGAUCACUUACUUUGAACUAGUAAGGGGCCACUCGUCUAAAGUUGAGGAGUGGUGCUGGCAGUUUGUGCAACGAGUUUGGAGUGAAGGGUGUGUGUGUACAGAGUGCUAGAUGCUAUUUGACCAAUCUGGCUAAAGGUGUUUGACUUGGGUUUGGGGCAGCUAACCUUCACCAAUGAUGCUCAAAGUUAACAGGAUUGUGUUUUAGGCAAAAUUAGGAUGCUCUACCUUAUUUGAGCUCCAUUGGACAAGUUUUGUAGUGUAAACUUGAAAACGACCCAAAUGGACAGUUCUGCUUUAUUAAAAGAAAAUAUGAGCAAAUUAAUCCUUACAAAUCCAAUUAUUUGCACGAUCUCCUCAUUUUGGGUAUUAAGCACUCCUGCAAAGGUUUAGGCCAUUUAGACAAAAUUUGCUAUGUAGAGUGCGUGCAAUUUGAUUCUAGACAGGAAGGGUUUUAAGAUUAUUUGGUGAACCAGGCACCUUGGAAUGAGGUGAAAUUCGGUAUGCCCAUCAAAUGUAGCUUGGGGAGCAUGCUCGCACUUUUUGGGAAAUUAUUGAGAAUAUUUUCUUUGAAAAUAUUUCAAAAGGUCAAAAUAGACAGAAUGGGUUUUCAAAGGUUUCCUCAGAUAUAUUGAACAUAAAUAGGGGUUGAAAAUCUUAUGUAUGGAAACCAUAUGUCCUUUGAGUAUCUCCAAAUUUUGUUAGAUUUUUCUAAGGUAGAAAAAUAAUUUUCCCCUCAGAAAUAUGAUUUCUGGCCUUAGAAAAGGACAUGCUAAUAAAAUAGAAACUUUUUUUAUAAAAUAAAUAUUUUAUGAUUUUAGAGAGUUAUAAUAGUUCUAGAAUCAAAAUACAAUCUUUGGGUGAAGGCACCCCCUUGAAAUCAGGGACUUGUAAUGCAAACCCCAUAGCAAGGUUUUGAAUUAACAAAAAUGGGAAAAGGAUUUUUAUGAAAAUAUUAUAUUAUAAAAAUUAUUUUUAGAUCCACACAUUCAAGCAUACAUACAAUCAAUGUCAAUCAUGGCACUCAUAGCAUUUGCUUAAAAAGUUUUAACUAAAUCCAAAUUCGAAAGGACAAGAGGAUAGGCAAAGUGAAAACAAGGUGUGACAACACGCGGCUGCGACGUCAUUAAAAUAUUGUUUUAAAAAGUGCGCAUAAAACUUUCAUUAAUUGGGUUGAAAGUUGGCGUGCGAUCUUAUUAUCAUAUAGGUAGAUCCCUUGCCAAAUUUCGUCGCAAUCGGGGUCCGUUUCAUACUCGAACCGUUAAACAACACUAUAGCGUGUCAAAUUGCACAUGUUUCGGUAUUCUAAACUCUAUCGCCGGGCUGCCUGUUUUUCCUCUCUUUUCAUGUCUCGCCUAUCUGUACAAUAACCCCACCUCCCCGCAACUUAGUCAUAAACUCCCCGUGGACCCGAACCGAGCGGUCAUGAUUGUUGGGUCCGGAUCAACCCUAUAAUACUCAAACCGUCGUCGGUUUUUCAUUUGGACUUUCUAACCAAUUUUUUCGACCACCAAAUCAAGAUUGGAGGGUCUAAACAUAGCCAAACCCUACUAUUUAUAUAUGAAAUCUAGAACUAAUCCUAGCCUACCCAGUCCCAUCCGUCUCUCUGUUCGCCUCCGCCGCUCCCUCGUCCUGCCUCGGUUUCCAGAUCCACCCAAGCAGAGCCUCCCUCGGGAUCCCCUCGCAGCCAACCAGUGCUCAGCGUCACCUCCUUGUAUGAUCUUAUACACACGCUCGAGAGAAUCCCGAGGCCUCCGAGACGAAGCCAAAAGCGCCAUUGCUGGAGGUCCAAGCCACGGCCACCUCUCCUCCAGAAGACCAGGGCCGCGUGCCCGAGCGCCGCUGCUGCCGUGCGCCUCCCACCUCGCCAUUGUCAUUCGCCUCAUUGGAGAAUGGACCUUGUUAGAUCCAUUGACACCGGUGAUCACCUCCAGCAGGCCCGUACCACCCCUUUAUUUCUCCGUCCUGUCUCCCUCCCUCUAAUUCUUUCACUGUCUCUCUCUCUCAAUUUUCCCCUCUCCAUGUGUCUCUUGUUUAGGAACACAACCAUGGCCAAAGCUUCAAUGCACUGCCCCGCUUUGUCUCCGCCCCAAUGGAGCUCCACCGCAACCCUUGCCUCGGAUGCGCCUGAUUCCUCCUGGCCCCAUUGCCAUGACGCCCGUGACAUCCUCUUCUGCAUCGCGAUGACCUGAUGUUGCGUCUAUUCUUGAGGCAACGGGCAGCAGCAGCUCGGCUGUUGACCAUGCCCUGCCGCGUGGACCCACCCGUUCCAACCAGUGCCAAGGCCCAGCAGUGCCCAACUCCUUCUCGUGCAGCUAUCCAAUAUCAGCAUUGCCAUGGCCGCUGGCCUCUGUCUCCCUGUCGUGAGCCCCAUAACUGAAACUUCAGCAUUUCCUAGAUCUAUUCUCGUAUAUAGAGGUUAAUUAGGAUUGCCGCUCUAUUUAUCCACAAGAGCUUCGAAGCCCAGCUGGUUAGCUCGUUCUCGGUUCAAUUCCCGCGUGCACUAAUAUUUUGCCUAGGUUUUUUAUUUAUUUGCACAGACAUAUACACACCCGCAUGAGCCAAGUUAGUUCUUUUUUGAGCCAGAUUUGUAUUUUUCUGCACUGAGAUAUAACACUUAUUAAUGGCCAUGCAUAGUUUAAAAAAACACUGUUUUAAAAUUGUUAAUAUCUAUUUAACGUUCAUCUGAUUAAAAUGAAUUAUACAUGGAAAAUGUUCAGAAUUUCGUGUAGAUUUAUAAUAUCCAACUCUCACAUGUGUUUAAGAUAUUUACCUUGCUCUUUUCACUUAAUUUGCACAAAUGCCAUGUUGAAAUGAUUUAAUUCAUAACUAAUUAACGUAGCUUCGAUUAAAAUGUUUCAUAUAUGUAACUUGAUUAGAACAAUGUGUAGGAUAACUUGGUGACAUUUAUUUUGCUGUUUAAAAACUAAAAAAUUGUGUUAUAGGUAGAAAAUUACGAAAAUCUUAAUUGGCAUAUGGGGAUUUCCGGAACUGAUAUUCCUUGUUCUGGCCUCAAUUAAAAUUGCCUAGAAUUUCAUGUAGUUUCACAAUAUCUCGUUCAUCAUGUUUUAACAUGCUUGUGACCGUCAUUUGCAUACAUUUUGCAUUCAUGGCAUAUUAUCUUGUGUUUCUCAUAUCUUUUGGACCAUAGACCUGUUUAAAUAAUUUAUAUAUGUAAAUCAACUAGAAAUACGUGUAGAAUCACAUGGUCCACUUUAUUUUGUUUUUUAAUAAAUAUAAAAUGUGUUUAGUUCAGAUCUGGAGUUUUUUUUAAAUUAACAUAUGAGGUCAUUUCGGAAAUGCUAUAUGUUGUUUCUGACCUCAUUUAAAAUGCCUAGAUAGUGUAGUUCAUUUAUGCUUCACGUCUUGCCAUGUUUAACAACAUUUAACAUUGUCGAGUACCUAAACGGUGGUGAACUAAAUAAUUCAAAUGUGGAGUUUGGUCAAUAUGCAACGAGUUGCAUAUUGAACUUCAUUUAAUAUGUACUGAUAAAUUGUUGUGUUUUGUCAUGUCGUGCAUAAUUAGGUGGACAUGCAUCAUAAUUGCUUGCACAUCAUGUCAUGAAUAUGUUGUGGUGUUUAUCAUGUGUUGAUUGUUUGUAUCCAAAUUAUUUCUUCUCAAUAGAGUUCGGAACCACUUCGAAGUGUGAGGAUUCAUUCGACUACGUUGGUUCGUCUGCUUCACGGAUUCGUUCUUCUUCCAAGCGGGAUCAGAGGCUAGAUGAUCAUUUCCCUAGAUAUCACUACUAUCAUUGCUAUGCUAGUUGUCUCGUUUCUAUAGCUAUGUCUCGCUACCUACCACGUGAAUGUCAGCCUCCCAACAUUACCACUAAAAGUCUCUAAUCCCUCCACAUUCUAGCAAAACCUCUCUUUGGCUAUGUUACCGCUUGCUCAGCCCUUCUUAUAGCGUUGCUAGUUGAAGGUUCUGUUGCUUCCAUGUGAAAACAGGGAUUUCCUGUCAUAUCACCAUACAAUUGAUAUUUAAUUUAAUGCACCUAUAUACUUGGUAAAAGGUGGAAGUCUUGGCCUUCUAGCUCGGUGUUUUGUUCCAUCUUUUCCGCCCUAGUUACUUCUGUACCAGUGUUAUGUUUCAUAAUUGAGCGCUCCUAACAUGCUUGGGGUUGUUAUAGGGACCCCCUAGUCCCUAGAUUUUUGUUUUGGGAUAAAACUCGUCUGGCAAGGCCCAACAUUGGUACUAUAUUUCCCCAACAUAAUAAUAUUGAUCAUCGUUAUUAAAACAUAGGGCGUCAUGAACCCGAGGAGUAAUUCAACAUAAUACAGGGAGGUCCAGUGCCGAUGGUGCUGGUCCUAAAUAGAGUAUUGUGCAGGGCCAACCCAAGGCAACGUAUCUUGUUGCCAGGACAUGACGGAUAAGGUACAUGUACGGAGGACUGAUAUAAAUCACCCAGGUUGAGGGUUUCCACCAGGAAUCCGAGGAGAUCAUGCGUUUUCCGUGGUCGAGGUUUCCAAUGUGGCUUGUGGUAGUUUGUGAUGGACUAGUUGGAGCAUCUAUGCAGGGUAAAAUCUUUCUAAGAGCCGUGCCCGUGGUUAUUGGGCAACUUGGAAACUUUGUUUAACACCUACUCAUAGCAAACUCGAAGUAAAUUUAAUUAAAAUAUGCGAACUGUGUGUGUAACCGUGAUUGUCUCUUCUCGUGAGUUCUUAUCCAAGAGAGAACACGGUGGGUGUAUGUCUGACUCGUAAAUAGUUGUUCAAGAUCACUUCGACAUUAUUGUUAGUUCAUGUCUGAUUAUGCAUAGAUCACCCCCUCUUAUUCAUGCAAUCGUAAGUUAGCCACUCAAAUAAAUGCUUAGUGCUUGUUGAAGCCUCACCACUUAACCAUACCUUACUCGUUAAGCUUUGCUAGUCUUUAUACCAUUGGAAAUGAGAUCGUUGAGUCCGUGUGGCUCAGAGAUUACUACAACAACAAUUGAAGGUACAGGUAAAGUGAUAUUUUGAUGUGAGCGUGAUGAUUAUUCUUUUUGGUUUCUUCUUCUUCUUCUUCUUCAUCUAUCUAGGAUAGGUUCCAAGCCGACAGCCUUGGAUAGCAAGGAUGGACGUCAUCUUUCAUCAUUUGAUUUCAUCCGUAGUCGGACCCUCCUCUUCUACAUGAUGUUUGAAUGUAUUUUUGUAUUGAAAUGUUAAUGAUGUAGCUUGUGGCGAGUGUAAGCCAAUUUCAUAUACUCAUCUCUUCUGUACAUGUACUUGUAACAAUAUCCCUUCUUGCAAAACGGCGAGAUGCGCUUCUCUGCUUGUCGAGUCUGUGGAGCCAAAAUAAGGUUUGGAUCGCAUAUUGGGCAUUACAUCUGGACAACCUCUUUUCUCCUCUCUCUCUCUCUCUCUUCUCUCUCUCUCCUGGCUAGCUUCCAGAGCAUCCCAUUCUCUCUCCCCCUUUGUAUAAUCCCCCUGUAGAUAAAGGGCACUAGUGGCUGCGCCAGAGCGCGUCAAGGCCAUCAACAUGCCGGCCAAAAGCACACACUAGAGCGCGCUACAGGACAUCCGAGCGCUGAACUUGCUCCAUGCACAUCCCCUGGCCACCUCGAUCCCCUCCCCUCGCGCCAGUCGAGUCCCCUCGGUGUCCGCGAUAUGCCAGUGUGUCGGGAGCCGCUUCUCUAUCUCUCACCACUUGUAGCAUGUGCCCGAUGCCGCCCUGCUCGACCAAUGCGUGAGCUCGCACGCGCGCACACCACCACCUUCCCUCUUGCUUCCCUCGGUCAUAGAAGACUCCCAGUUGCAACCUCAGCUCAAAACUGAGCCCUCCCGUGGCCUCCAUCACCUCCCUAACCAACUCCGGUGACCACGCCCACGAUGCACCGACGCGUGGCUAUAUAAGUUCUUGCCGAGAUCCUCUCUCCCAUCUAGACUCCCUAUCCAUCUCUCAAUCGAGUGCCAGAACCACCCAAGCCUCCCCUCGAGAUCUCUGUGGUCGAGAUCUAUUGGAGCUCUGCCGUGGCGGGCCACCGAUGAUCUCCACGUACGACCGCUCUCCGGCCCUCCUUUCUUCUCCUGCAAACCUCCCUUGCCUCCCUGGCGUUUCCCCCUCUCUCCCACAUGGAUUGCAGCAGGGAACUUGGGAUUGCAGCUCGCCCGAUUCUCUUUCACUGCGGCCCCUUCGUCACCGGUGAAUCCGGCCACCCCAGCACCUCCCUCGACCUCAUCAAGAACAAAGCGACCUCCUGAGCCCAUUCCUGCACCCACUUCUCCUCUUCGUGCCCCGGAGCACCACCGGUAAGUGCCGCCACCUCCUUGGCUGGAGGUUGACGAUGGCUUGCCAGUGGGUCUGUCCAUUAGCCUCUUGUUUCUCCCCCUCUCUCCUCAUGCCACUGACCGCUCAGCCCCACGCAUUAGGUUUAAACCCGAUGGUUCGGUGCGCCUAGCUCGCUCGGUCUAGGUUCGCUGGUUGGGUCGGCUCGGCUAUGCUGGCUCUGGCGCAAAGGCACUUUAGCUUUUAUCUUUGACCCUUUUGUCAAUAUUCCAAAAUUCCCUUUGGCUAAAAUAAAAAUCCAAAUCAAGUAACUCUAAUUUCUAAGAGUGCCCCUUGUGCAAUUUUUGAAAAGAGAUGUAGACAUUGUUUUAUUUAAAUACAUUGUUAAAGCAUUUUAACUUUCUGUUAAAUUCCUUUUCUUAAAUUUUUACACUUAAAAACUAAAACCUAAUAAUUUUUGAAGUACUAAUACUGACUCUAGUAUUUUACAAAAAUAGGUUAACAUUUUUCCGAGUGUUAUAUUUUCCAUGUUUUCGUUGUAGCCUUAUGUUUGCCCAUUAUAUUGCAACGAGUAUAUUGUGUGGUUGACAAAGAGCUUUGAAAAGAAGGAUUUCAAGACCCCGUGGACUUUGUUGAGCUAGGAAAGCACCCCUUUGACCAUGACCAUGAACCCAUUUUAUGCAUGUCAUAUGGCACUUUACUUUGUUGCAUCUGAAUCAUGUUCAAUCAUUGAUCCCUUUGGUGGGUUGUCUCUUAUAUUUCCUCGUUGGUACUUGCAUUGCGCAUGACCCUACCAUCCUAUGGGGGUUGUGUGGGUGGGAAGUAGAUAGGAUGCUAAAGUACUUGCCAAGCAAAUGGGAUGGGAAACAUGCAUGGUGUCGGAAAGGAAAUGAUUUCAAAGACCUUUCGAAAACCCCGUCGGGUACCACUAAUGACCGAGGAAGAUGGUGCUGAGCUUGGUAACCACUUGAGUAAGAAUUGGGUAUGAGGAAAGUCAGUGUGUUAUUUUAGAAAACGAAUUGGUUUAAGUUGCGACCGUUACUCCAACCUUACAUGUACGACUACGAUACCCCUUAUGGGGUGUGGCUUUAUUGAUUACUGUGGUCGGCACUAGCUGAGAGCCUGCAUUAUUAGUGGCAGGAGUGAUGUGGUCACUCCUGAUACGAGGUUGUGCUCGAAUGGACGACCAUGGGCUAUUUUCACACACACCGAGCACACCGUUGUGUUCCCUCGUGGAGGAUACCUGUGAUGUACAUCAUGAUGGAUGGCACCAACGAGUGGACUCUUGGUUGGUAUCGUCAUGUGAAAAGUAUUAUUCGGGUACUUAUUUCGGGUAUGGAAAACACAAUGAGUCGUGGAUUGACAAGGAAGUUUCUCGAGUCUUGUGGGUAAAUCGUGCAACUUCUGCAGAAUUUAAAACUAUUUGAAUAUUCGUGUCCACGGUCAAGGAUAGUUGGAUGACCGUUCUUGCGCUACGUCCAUAAGUUUUCACAACUUGGUGUGUCUGUGUGUGAGAUAGAUGAUGGUGUGAUACUUGAUCUAAGUCAGAUGACUUGGCAUGAUGAGUGAACAUGUGUGGGGACCCCGACUUACAAGUUGAGAUUGCCGAACGAACGUGCUCAGUGAUCCCAGGGAUCAAUGCUCACCGAACACACAUAUACUGAAUAUUAAGAGGCUUACAUCCAUACGUACCGUUUGAUACAAUAAAUGAACUUAUCGGUCAAGUCUUACACAUAUAGGGCCUUGAGGGCCAACACACCAAACUGGACUAAUAGCGGAAAUAUUGGUCGAAAGCGUGAACCAAUGCCAUCAGGCUUAACCUACAUGCAUUUUGACUGGGAAGCGUCCUAGCUCGCAAGAACAUCACCAAGUUACUAUUCACCAUAGCAUGUUCUCUCAUACCUAGUCAAUGAAAUAACCAGUGGCAAGCCAAUGAGUACUUUGAAUGUACUCGCAAACAACCCAUGAUAUGGAAAAUGUAGUUGGUAUUGUAACAAGUAAUAUGAAGUAUUGGUGGAUAGCAUCUUAACUAUAAAUAAACAUGAUCAUGUGUGUGCAACAUAAGCUAGGUGGUAUUUAGAAGAGCAGGUUACAGAUAUCAAUAUACCUGUCAAGGGUUGAACACUCCGGGUUCACCCGAUAUGCCAAGUCACCAAACUUGGUCAUAUCAACUCUUUCUUAGGUAUCACCAUUAAACACACACACACACACACACACACUCACACUUGGUUUAUGCGGAAACAGCUGGACGUAGUUUAAGCCAGAUUAUCCAACUGUCCUUCACCGUGGACACGGCUAUUUGAAUAGUUUUACACUCUGUAGAGGUUGUACGCUGUGCCCACAAGAUCCGGGAAACUUCCGUGUCAUCCACGACUCACGGUAUAUAACAUACCCGAGGUAAGUACCCGCUCAAUGUGUUUCCCCUGACUUUACUAGACAAAGAGAUCCACUCGAUUGGUACCCAACCCACAUGAUGUACGUCUUAUGAGCAACGACUCUGAAUAGUAUCAUCCAUGCGGGGACCAACGGUGUGCCCGAAACACGUAAAACGACAUAGUCGCCCUACCUGGUACGUCCCCAUCAUGAGAGUGCCACACAUCACUCCCACCACUAGUAAUGUGGUUCUUUGCUAGUGUCGAUCAGAGUAAUCAACAAAGCCUCGUCCCAUAAAGGGGUAACGUGGUCGUACAUGUAAGGUUGGGACGGUCGACACAUCAUAAAUCUAUUCCCAUUUCCGAAACCAUACACACACAAAAUACCCCGUGCACCACUUCACCAAAAGUGGCCACCUAACUCAUCAUCACCCUGGGACAUUAGUGGCACCCAACGGGGUUUUCAUUAACCUUUGAUAUAUAACAUCAUCAUGCUCAUUCUUCCACUAUGCUUAGCUCUACUUGUCAACAUGACAUUAGCGUGACCCUCACAGGUGAUAGGAUCAUGCUCAAAAUGCAAGUGCUCCAGAGGAGCCAUCGGGAAUAUCACUUCAAUGAUUUACCGAUACUUAUGAUCACAUGCAACAGAAAGAUUUGUUCUACUUAGCAUCCAAUAUAAUAUAUGCUCAAACAUGGUCAAAGGGCUUUUUUCAUUGAUCACAUAAGUCCUCUGGGGCUUCAAGGUCUUCUGGUCAAACUCCGAGUACUUUGUCUACUCCGUCAACUAAAGUCGGAAACAACACAGUAAGCCAACAACAAUCAGAAACAAAAUGCUACAAAAAUGGAAUGUUAUAUUUUCCUUGGACCUAUCUGGUCAUAAGAAAAAUACUUGAAACUUGCUAUAGGAGAUUUGGAUCAUCAGGGAAUUUUGAAUGGAAGAAAGGAGGAAUAGCUGAUGGUAAAAGAAACCUACUGAAAACAUUAUGAUAAAAAUGAGUGGAGACACUUAUUUAACAAAGAGCAAUUUUAGAAACAUUUAGAAAGUUGUUUCACUGGAUUUGGAGUUGAGGUGAAUAUUCUAUGGAUUUUCUAAUAUUGGACAAAUCGCAAAAGAGGGCUAUUUAUUUAUGGCAACAGAAAUAAGUCAUACAAAAAUGUUGACCAAGGCUUCAAAAAUAGGAUCUGAUAUAAGAAGGAUCUGAAAUUGGAAUCACUCCAUUUGGAGUUGAUUUGAAUCCUCUAGGAUUUUUGAAAGGGGGUUUAGAAGCACCCAAAUAUGUAUUUAAAUAUAAAUACAUCAUAAAAGUUGUUUGGAAAAAUGUGCAAAGCACACCGCUGGAUAAACCUUGAUUUUAGGGACCUGUAGAAAUUUGAAUCAUUAAUUUUGGAGCUCAAAUGGUUUAACUAAAUAUUUUUCAAAUGUCGGGACCCCGAUCCUAAGCCAUAGGAAUCCAGCCUGUAACACAUUGCAUCCCUUUGCGGUCUCACGCACGGUUAUCCCCACGGCUGCCACCUUACCUUAGCCGGGACCGUUUGGGCCUUUUGAUCAUGUAUGCAUUAGUGUCGCUAGCAUUCCAAUGUCAAAGAACCCGGGUCGACAUAUCUUGUCAUAAACUCAAGUGGCUCGUCUGUACACAGAUAGGCAUACAUAACCCAGCAAAGCAGGUGUCGGUCAACAAUGAGUGUAGACAAGUCGUACCAAGCUACCAGGACUCCAUUACACCGCGUGACAUUUCCCCGUAGGGACAGACACAACAACUAAGAAGGAUACAUGCCGGUCAACCAAUGUGUCCGGAGCAGUAGUGAACUACCAAGGCUCGGUGGAAUCACAAAGGGGCAUUUCUCUGUAUAGAAAUAUACUAAGGCAUACGACUAGGUGUCGAAUGCCAUACAUAUCACAGUGCAUCACACGUACGCAUGACAUACUAGAUAUGCAUACAUACAACAAUGGCAUCACAACAUAACCAUAGAACAUCACGACAUUUAUUUAGAAGACUCGGAAGAGUCUUGCACAAUAUGUUCAUACAAGCAGGGGUCACACGACCCGACACUCAUAGUCAUACAAACAAGUCAUACAAACCAACGGAAGCAUAAAAGCUGUAUGAGUACACACAGUUGAAAGGAUAAGGCAUAAAGCCUGACUAUCUACAUAUCCCUUCUGAAAGGGGCCAGGUCGUAGCUGGGACACCAACUACCCGUCAUCAUCGAUGUCUAGAAAGAACCCACAUGUUGGCUCAUGGGUAUCCUCUGCAACAAUUAUUAAGCAAACACGAGUACAAGAGUACUCAGCAAGACUUUAGAACAAAUCUAUCUACUCAUGCUCACGUAUCAACAAAGGGGUUGUGGUGUUUCAUGCAGCAAGCCAGCUUUGACUCUUGGCUAGACAGCACUACGUUUUUAAAUAGUUUUGACCACUUUGUUUUCUCGCACACGAGUCCACUAACUCCACAACAAUACACCUUCAUGGAAUCAUUCCUGUCUUCCUAUGGAAAUGCCAUCCACGACACUCACAAUUAUCUUGAUACUUUUAUGAGUAGCCAUUAAUGUUGUCUAUGAACAACAUAUGUUUCCAAGUAGUCCAUAUCCGCGGACGUGGCUAUUCGAAUAGAUCAUAACCCUGCAGGGGUGUACUUCAUCACACACGCUCUCGCCACUUAUCGCUAUGUGCACCUCAUGCACCUCGGCAACCUUCAAGCAGAAGCCCAGCGAGGGAAUCAGCCACGACCAUUAACCACGCUAAUACCUAGUCCAGGUUUACCGCCUAUUUGAGAGUAACCCGCACGGAAGUCCAGCCGAGGUUUCUGCCACGGCCCCAAACGAUGUACACAUGGUUCCCAAGCCCACCAUCCGGGUGCCACUUGGUACACCGUGCCACUGCCUACCGCAUCAUAGCCCACCUCUAUGGUCAGCACUAUGCACGGCCUCCAGCAUGACUAUAAACACCAGAAACAAAGUAUCUCGUCUUGGAUUACAUACACGGAACUCAUAUUUCAGGGCCAAGCAUGUGGUAGUAUCUCGUCUUGGAUUACAUACACGGAACUCAGUUCCUAAGGACGGUUCCAAUGAAACAACCCGCUAUGUACUCCUACAUAGCCUUUCACCGGUACCUCUACCAAACCAGGUUCAACACACAACCUUUAUUAAUAGAACACAUUCUCACGAUCAUGUUCAUCACCCAGAUGACAGACCAAACACAACUCUAAGCAUAGCAUGCAUAUCAGGAUAAGGCACAUCAUGGCUCAAGCAUCUACCAGGUAUGCUAGGUUGCAUGGUUUUAGCUACUUACUGUGACCAAGACAGGUCAUGCAAAGGAAUGAGUUCAACUAACGUGGUAAAAGCAUUUGAAGCAUUUUGACCUAAUGCAAUAAAUAAGAGCAGGAGCGAGAACAUCGGAUUUAUCGGGAUGAUCAAAAUUGUUGCUUACCUUGUUGCUCAGCAGAGGGGUAAUAUCCGUCAGUCGGAUAAUCAGUCGUAUCCGGAGGGGUGGGGCCUACCGAAUAAAAACAUACAAUUAAUAGCAAUCAUAUGCAAAAAUCAUGAUGCAUGAACAUGGCAUGAAAUGAAGGGUGAUAUGAUUCAGUGUGGUUGGUGAAACCUUAAUUUGCAUCUGGUUUGAAAUCCUAAUUCAAAUAUCAUUUGAAAUGGCAUAUUUAUCUUAAUAAUUUAUUGAUUUGACCUGAUGCUGUUUCAUAACUUUGUUUUUCAUGCAUGAAAGUAGCACCAUUCUCUUCAUUGAAUUUUUCGGAUGAAUUUGCAUAUAUUAUUUGUCUGAUUUGGAGUUAUAAUCAAAUUUCUAUGAGUUUCCAAUGUUUUGAAAUUAUUCUGGAACUAUUUUAAGACGAGAAUUAGACUUAUUGCAUCAGCAUGACAUCAACACGUCAGCUGGCCGUUUGAAAGUCAAAUCUGACGAGUGGGACCCACUGGUCAGUGACUCUGGCAGCUUUAAAUUAAGUUUAAACUUAAUUAGGUAAUUAAUAGAGCUGGACCCACAUGUCAGUGACUGUUUAGGGUUUAACAAAUUCUUUAUUUUUAUUUUUAUUAAACUUAAUUAACCAGGUGGCUGGCCCCACUUGCCAGUGACUCAGGGGAGUCAACCCCACCGGCGAUGGGGUCAAACCCAUCGGCGGCGAGGCUCCGACGACCACCAGAACGGCGGAGGGCCUCGAGUUUUCUAUUCCGACGACUAAACGCAAGGCGGAAGGCACCAGAGGAACGGUUGUUCGAGCGCGGUUCCAUUUUUGCAAGGAACAGGGCUAAUAUGGCCAGAGAUGAUGCCGGCGACGAGCUCAGCGGCUGCCGGAGUUUGGGUUGCGACGAGGUCAUCGAAUCCGAGGGCAAAUCACGCGGGGUUGGGAUCCUAGAGCAUCUACGCGAUGCACUGUAGCUACCGGUGGCCUCAGAAUGACCAACCGAUCACCGGAGAGCUACUGGCGACGAGCUCCCGCGGCGGAUCUCAUCGGGCUCCGGUGGAAUCGGGGCCUAGACCACGGGAUCGAAGGGGAAAACGUGGGGGAAAUCUUCCUGGGCUAACUGGGAUUGCAGAGGCGUCGAGAUCAGGCUCGGAAGAGGACUGAGGUGGGAGAACGACGGCGGCGAGCUCCGGGGAUCUGAGGUUGAAGAUGAUGGCGUCAUGACGUCUCAGGUGUUCUCGGCGUCGAGCAGCUAGCUGGAGAACUUCAGGGGACUAUGGCGAUGCUUUUGCGCAGCUCAGGCAGGAGGGAGAGGGGCUGGAGCAACGGCAAGCUCGAGCUCAGCUCGAGCUCUAAUGGUGACCAAGAGGGGAGAGAACAGGGGGAGGAAUGAGGAGAGGAUGAGCUCGGGAGGAGGUCGCGGGAGGUUAUCCCUUCCUUGCUAGCACGAAACGGCGGCCAGACAUGCACAAGGAAGACGACAGGGCGAGCUGGGCUGGUCCAAGGGUGAGUGACAGGUAAGUUUUUUUCUAUAUUUUUUAAUUUCUGUUUUCGGUUAAAGCAUUUCUCACUUUGUUUCAUUUUAUUUUUGGCUCCAAACUAUUCCUAAAAUAGAUUGAAACACGCUAGGGUGUUAUUUGGAAUAUUUCCAAACACAUAUAAAGUUUUCAACAUUUUUGGAAACUUUGGAUUAUUUGAAAUCAAUUAUUUAGUUGAUUUCACUAACAUUUGAAUUUAAAAUAAAAUGCCAAAAGCAUUUUCAAAAUAAAUUUCACCCCUGAUAUUUUGUUUUCAACAUUUAUCGGAAGUGAUGAACUUUUAUGAUGGCCAUUUUGGGUUCAUUAAUUUGCCACCAAAUUUGAAUUGCUUUUGAAUAUAGAGUUGCUAGGGUUUGCUUUUGAUUUCAUUUCAUUUUCUUGGACGCAAUGAAGAAGACAUGAGCACAAUCUUGCUAAAGUCUAUUAGGGAUUCAGGGAUGUGACAACUCACCCCCACUGAAAAGAAUCAUGUCCCGAGAUUUGGAAGUCGUCGGGAAUAGCGCGGGAUACUCAAGUCGUAGACGAUCCUCUCUUUCCCAUGUUGCCUUUUUUCAGAAUGAUUUGACCAUUGAAAUUUAAGAAACUUGAGGUUUCGAUGUCGAGUGGUACGCUCAGCUUGAUCAAGAAUAUGAAUAGGGUAUUCUCGCUAUGAAAGGUUAUCUUGGAGAUCAUGCGUUUCGUGGUCCACUUCACGGAUAGGAUCCGAAAAGCAAGGUCUGAGUUGCGAGACGUGGAAUACUUCAUGAACCUUGGAAAGAUGCGGAGGAAGUUCCAACUGUUAGGCAACUUCUCCUCGUUUGGCAAGAAUGCGAAAAGGACCGAUGUAACGAGGAGCCAACUUGCCCUUGAUACCGAAACGAUGGGUACCCUUCAGAGGUGUAACCCGAAGGUAAGCCUUCUCGUCAACUUCAAAGGUCACAAACUUAUGAUGACGAUCAUAUUGGCUCUUUUGACGGGACUGGGCUAUUUUCAACUUUUCACGCAUAAUGCGAACUUGCUCUUCUACUUCCUGGAUCAUAUCCGGACCAAAGAGUUGCCUCUCUCCGGUUUCUGACCAAUUAAGAGGGGUUCAACAUCUUCGUCCAUAGAGAACAUCAAAAGGAGCUUUGCCCAAGAUUGAUUGAUAACUAUUGUUAUAAGCAAAUUCAGCGAAUGGAAGGCACUUCUCCCAAUUCAUGCCGAACAAUAGAACAAAAGCUCGGAGCAUAUCUUCUAGGAUUUGAUUCACUCUUUCUACUUGACCACUUGAUUGAGGAUGGAACGCAGUGCUACAAGAUAGGUGAGUCCCCAUGGCAUUCUAAAAACAUUCCCAGAAGCGAGAAGUAAAAAUACUUCCACGGUCUGAGUUAAUCUCCAGAGGAACACCAUGAAGAGACACUAUUCGAGAGAUAUAUAA
Molecule: long non-coding RNA, 23578 nt
Filed under: Hordeum vulgare
Lineage: Eukaryota; Viridiplantae; Streptophyta; Magnoliopsida; Poales; Poaceae
Description: long non-coding RNA (HVUL_LNC009985)
Source: RNAcentral